AGUAAAAUUAGUUUAUUUAAAAUACUAAGUUGUGGGCUUAGGGAAAAAGUAUUACUUUAUUUUACUA
Molecule: transfer RNA, 67 nt
Filed under: Amphioctopus marginatus
Lineage: Eukaryota; Metazoa; Mollusca; Cephalopoda; Octopoda; Octopodidae
Description: tRNA-His
Source: RNAcentral